UACGAGAGGACCGGAAAGAACGCACCUCUGGUGGACCGGUUGUCGCGCCAGCGGCACUGCCGGGUAGCUAUGUGCGGAAGAGAUAACCGCUGAAAGCAUCUAAGCGGGAAACUCGCCUCAAAACCAGGUCUCGCCGAGAGCCGUGGAAGACUACCACGUCGAUAGGCUGGGCGUGUAAGCGCAGCAAUGCGUUGAGCUUACCAGUCCUAAUCGCUCGACAGGCUUGAACGC
Molecule: ribosomal RNA, 231 nt
Filed under: Alphaproteobacteria bacterium
Lineage: Bacteria; Pseudomonadati; Pseudomonadota; Alphaproteobacteria
Description: partial 23S ribosomal RNA
Rfam family: Bacterial large subunit ribosomal RNA
Source: RNAcentral